GCAUCGAAACACUAGUUCCCGUACGGUCACCAAAGUUAAGCAUCGUCAAACACGUUCAGUACCUAGACGAGUGACCGCUUGGGAAUACUAGGUGCAGCA
Acanthosepion pharaonis is the source of this 99-nucleotide non-coding RNA. The record is from the annotation of a GenBank genome assembly. NCBI's taxonomy places the organism in Eukaryota, Metazoa, Mollusca, Cephalopoda, Sepiida, Sepiidae.